This 301-nucleotide ribosomal RNA is filed under the name uncultured bacterium. Its description in RNAcentral is "partial 16S ribosomal RNA". It matches the Rfam family "Bacterial small subunit ribosomal RNA", at positions 509 to 807 of the family's 1533-position model. The record is from RNAcentral.
CGGUAGCCGCGGGAACACGUAGGGUGCGAGCGUUAAUCGGAAUUACUGGGCGUAAAGCGUGCGCAGGCGGUUCGUUAAGACAGAUGUGAAAUCCCGAGGCUCAACCUCGGAACUGCCUUUGAUACUGGAGAUCUUGAGUUCGGAAGAGGUUGGUGGAACAGCUAGUGUAGAGGUGAAAUUCGUAGAUAUUAGCUAGAACACCAGUGGCGAAGGCGGCCAACUGGUCCGAUACUGACGCUGAGGUGCGAAAGCGUGGGGAGCAAACAGGAUUAGAUACCCGGGUAGUCCCUGUCUCUUAUAC